Molecule: ribosomal RNA, 368 nt
Filed under: uncultured fungus
Lineage: Eukaryota; Fungi
Description: eukaryotic LSU rRNA
Rfam family: Eukaryotic large subunit ribosomal RNA
Source: RNAcentral
AUAUCAAUAAGCGGAGGAAAAGAAACUAACAAGGAUUCCCCUAGUAACUGCGAGUGAAGAGGGAAGAGCUCAAAUUUAAAAUCUGGCUGUUCUUGUAGCAGUCCGAGUUGUAGUUUAGAGAAGUGCUAUCCGUGUUGGCCUGUGCAUAAGUUUCUUGGAAAAGAACAUCAUAGAGGGUGACAAUCCCGUCUUUGGCACAGAUUACCAGGGCUUUUGUGAUGCGCUCUCGACGAGUCGUGUUGUUUGGGAAUGCAGCACUAAAUGGGUGGUAAAUUCCAUCUAAAGCUAAAUAUUGGCGAGAGACCGAUAGCGAACAAGUACCGUGAGGGAAAGAUGAAAAGAACUUUGAAAAGAGAGUUAAACAGUAC